GACGAACGCUGGCGGCGCGCUUAACACAUGCCAGUCGAACGGAAAGGCCUGCUUUCCCUUGUGGAUUGCGGGUACUCGAGUGGCGAACGGGUGAGUAACACGUGAGUGAUCUGCCCCCAACUUGGGUAUAAGCCUGGGAAACUGGGUCUAAUUCCCGAUAGGACUGCAGGGUGGUGCCUGUGGUGGAAAACGAUUUUCUAGUGGUUGGGGAUGAGCUCGCGGCCUAUCAGCUUGUUGGUGGGGUAAUGGCCUACCAAGGCGGCGACGGGUAGCCGGCCUGAGAGGGUGGACGGCCACAUUGGGACUGGGAUACGGCCCAGACUCCUACGGGAGGCAGCAGUGGGGAAUAUUGCACAAUGGGCGGAAGCCUGAUGCAGCGACGCCGCGUGGGGGAUGACGGCCUUCGGGUUGUAAACUCCUUUCGACCGCGAGGAAGCCACCUGGUUGGAAGGGUGGUGACGGUAGUGGUAGAAGAAGCACCGGCUAACUACGUG
This 494-nucleotide ribosomal RNA is filed under the name uncultured bacterium. RNAcentral's name for it is "partial 16S ribosomal RNA". It matches the Rfam family "Bacterial small subunit ribosomal RNA", at positions 28 to 507 of the family's 1533-position model. The record is from RNAcentral.